This 444-nucleotide ribosomal RNA is filed under the name uncultured bacterium. Its description in RNAcentral is "partial 16S ribosomal RNA". It matches the Rfam family "Bacterial small subunit ribosomal RNA", at positions 331 to 792 of the family's 1533-position model. The record is from RNAcentral.
CCAGACUCCUACGGGAGGCAGCAGUGGGGAAUAUUGCACAAUGGGGGAAACCCUGAUGCAGCGACGCCGCGUGAGUGAAGAAGUAUUUCGGUAUGUAAAGCUCUAUCAGCAGGGAAGAAAAUGACGGUACCUGACCAAGAAGCCCCGGCUAACUACGUGCCAGCAGCCGCGGUAAUACGUAGGGGGCAAGCGUUAUCCGGAUUUACUGGGUGUAAAGGGAGCGUAGACGGCUGAGCAAGUCAGAAGUGAAAGCCCGGGGCUCAACCCCGGGACUGCUUUUGAAACUGCGGAGCUGGAGUGCAGGAGAGGUAAGCGGAAUUCCUGGUGUAGCGGUGAAAUGCGUAGAUAUCAGGAGGAGCACCAGUGGCGAAGGCGGCUUACUGGACUGCAACUGACGUUGAGGCUCGAAAGCGUGGGGAGCAAACAGGAUUAGAUACCCUGGUA